Long non-coding RNA from Mangifera indica (mango), 729 nucleotides. RefSeq lists it as uncharacterized. The transcript is spliced from 2 exons. The record is from RefSeq and is a predicted model, not a curated record. Lineage: Eukaryota; Viridiplantae; Streptophyta; Magnoliopsida; Sapindales; Anacardiaceae.
UGCGACUCUACCUUCUUGGCUAAUAAUCCAGUGUAUCCUCUAGUGAUCUGCAUUCUGCCACUAAAACCAGCCCGAUCAGAUGUACAGGUUUUUCUGUCCCGUAUAAUGCUGCUUUUUCCUUUCAGUUUCUCUCAACUUCCCCUCAAUAUCCUCCUUUGUUAUAAAAGGAACAACUGAUCAGUGCAGGCUAUGGGCUCCAUUUUCAAAUACCAUGGAGGCUUUUACAAUAAGAUGCAAUGCGUCAGCUGAGAAAGCCAUGAAGAAGGAGAAAACCACACCUGUGGAGUAUAAAGGACACACAAGCAUUCAGAUAGAAGAGCAUUUCUUUCAGCUGUCGAGUAAGAUGUAACAAAGUUAACCCGAUCUGCCACUUUGUUUUCUAUGGCAAAGUGUUUAAGCUCCUCCAAGUAUUCAACAUUCUCUCUCAAGCGUUCAUCAUACCCACCUACAACAAGAGAGAGAUAGCUCAAUUACUCUGUAAAACGAAAAGUCAUGCCAGUUUUUUGUUCUCACAUCAGCAAUAACAUUUCAUUCAUGUACAUGCAGCACAUAUCUCAGUACACUAUUUUGCUUUCCCUGCUGCAAUAAUUGAGUUCCCCCAAUUCCAUGUUAAAGGCCACUAGGAGUUUCAUAAAGUAAUGCUAUUUCAAUCUUUCACUGUGAAACUAUAAACUUGACUAAGACAUUGUUUGCAAAAGACUAUUCCAGUACAGAUGACAUUAUGCCUGA